CAUCGGAACGUAUCCCGUAGUGGGGGGACAACCCAGCGAAAGCUGGGCUAAUACCGCAUAUGCUCUACGGAGGAAAGCAGGGGACUCUGAGGGAAACCGAGGGGCCUUGUGCUAGGGGAGCGGCCGAUGUCCGAUUAGCUAGUUGGUGGGGUAAAGGCUUACCAAGGCGACGAUCGGUAGCUGGUCUGAGAGGAUGAUCAGCCACACUGGGACUGAGACACGGCCCAG
Molecule: ribosomal RNA, 228 nt
Filed under: uncultured bacterium
Lineage: Bacteria
Description: partial 16S ribosomal RNA
Rfam family: Bacterial small subunit ribosomal RNA
Source: RNAcentral